This is a long non-coding RNA of Nematolebias whitei (Rio pearlfish), 248 nucleotides long. RefSeq lists it as uncharacterized. The transcript has 6 exons. Lineage: Eukaryota; Metazoa; Chordata; Actinopteri; Cyprinodontiformes; Rivulidae. The record is from RefSeq and is a predicted model, not a curated record.
AGAAGAAGAAGAAGAAGGAGAUCAAUUUGGAGCCAUUUUUCUCGAGGAGCAGAAGAAGAUGGAGCCAAGUGGCACAAUGAGAGGAAGUCAUUCUGGAACCGAUUUUCAAGACGUCAGGACAACACUGCUAACCUCAGAGUCGGCUAUUUAAAGAACUCUGACCCUGUAGAUUGUACCUCUUACUCCUCUAAACCACCUUUUCCAACACCAAAGAAUAAUCAAAGGCGAGCUGCUCCUUCAACACCAGA